CCUACGGGGGGCAGCAGUGAGGAAUAUUGGUCAAUGGGCGGAAGCCUGAACCAGCCAAGCCGCGUGAGGGAAGAAGGUACAGCGUAUCGUAAACCUCUUUUGUCAGGGAACAAAGGCGGGGACUAGUCCCCGGAUGAGGGUACCUGAAGAAAAAGCAUCGGCUAACUCCGUGCCAGCAGCCGCGGUAAUACGGAGGAUGCGAGCGUUAUCCGGAUUUAUUGGGUUUAAAGGGUGCGCAGGGGGCCUGUUAAGUCAGCGGUAAAAGCCCGGGGCUCAACCCCGGCGAGCCGUUGAAACUGGCGGGCUUGAGUUGGAGAGAAGUACGCGGAAUGCGCGGUGUAGCGGUGACAUGCUUAGAUAUCGCGCAGAACCCCGAUUGCGAAGGCAGCGUACCGGCUCCACACUGACGCUGAGGCACGAAAGCGUGGGUAUCGAACAGGAUUAGAUACCCCGGUAGUC
Molecule: ribosomal RNA, 459 nt
Filed under: uncultured bacterium
Lineage: Bacteria
Description: partial 16S ribosomal RNA
Rfam family: Bacterial small subunit ribosomal RNA
Source: RNAcentral